GAUGAAGAACGUAGCGAAAUGCGAUAAGUAAUGUGAAUUGCAGAAUUCCGUGAAUCAUCGAAUCUUUGAACGCACAUUGCGCCCUCUGGUAUUCCGGGGGGCAUGCCUGUCCGAGCGUCAUUUGCAAACCUCAAGCCCGGCUUGUGUGAUGGGUGCCGUCCCCUACGGGACGCGCCCCGAAGGCAAUGGCGGCGUCGCGGUUAUCCGAUCAGCCAAAGUGUAUGGGGCUUUGUCACUCACUUUACGGCCCGGACCGGCGCCAGUCCGAAUCAAUCUUUUUUCUAAAGUUGACCUCGGAUCAGGUAGGGAUACCCGCUGAACUUAAGCAUAUCAAUAAGCGGAGGA
Molecule: unclassified non-coding RNA, 345 nt
Filed under: soil metagenome
Description: partial contains 5.8S ribosomal RNA, internal transcribed spacer 2, and large subunit ribosomal RNA
Rfam family: 5.8S ribosomal RNA (bases 1-120)
Source: RNAcentral